This 253-nucleotide ribosomal RNA is filed under the name uncultured bacterium. Its description in RNAcentral is "partial 16S ribosomal RNA". It matches the Rfam family "Bacterial small subunit ribosomal RNA", at positions 524 to 776 of the family's 1533-position model. The record is from RNAcentral.
UACGUAGGUGGCAAGCGUUGUCCGGAAUUAUUGGGCGUAAAGAGCUCGUAGGCGGUCUGUCGCGUCUGCUGUGAAAACUCAGGGCUUAACCCUGAGCUUGCAGUGGGUACGGGCAGACUAGAGUGCGGUAGGGGAGACUGGAAUUCCUGGUGUGGCGGUGAAAUGCGCAGAUAUCAGGAGGAACACCGGUGGCGAAGGCGGGUCUCUGGGCCGUAACUGACGCUGAGGAGCGAAAGCAUGGGGAGCGAACAGG